GGCUCUGUGGCGCAAUGGAUAGCGCAUUGGACUUCUAAUUCAAAGGUUGUGGUUUCGAAUCCCACCAGAGUCA
RNAcentral lists this transfer RNA (73 nucleotides) under Xenopus tropicalis (tropical clawed frog). RNAcentral's name for it is "tRNA-Arg (TCT) (tRNA-Arg-TCT-41-1)". It matches the Rfam family "tRNA". Rfam says of the family: Transfer RNA (tRNA) molecules are approximately 80 nucleotides in length. Their secondary structure includes four short double-helical elements and three loops (D, anti-codon, and T loops). Further hydrogen bonds mediate the characteristic L-shaped molecular structure. tRNAs have two regions of fundamental functional importance: the anti-codon, which is responsible for specific mRNA codon recognition, and the 3' end, to which the tRNAs corresponding amino acid is attached (by aminoacyl-tRNA synthetases). tRNAs cope with the degeneracy of the genetic code in two manners: having more than one tRNA (with a specific anti-codon) for a particular amino acid; and 'wobble' base-pairing, i.e. permitting non-standard base-pairing at the 3rd anti-codon position. Lineage: Eukaryota; Metazoa; Chordata; Amphibia; Anura; Pipidae. The record is from RNAcentral.